GGCCAUUGAGACCCUUGUUAGUUGAAAGUGUUGCCGUUAGCACCAUUGUUGCUUGUUGUUGAGUGUUUCGGCUAUUAUUGUGUUUGGGGUGUAACCUUGUUGCCGUGGGACACUUGGGUUGUUGGGAUUGCCAACUUUGUGGACGUGAGGUUCAUUGUGAUCUUUGGUGACUUAGUGGCCGUAAGCUUCCUAGGAACACUUGGUAUUUGGGGAUUCUUGCAAGUUGCCGUGAACCUUGGGGAGGUUUAUAUUGGGUCAUUGCCGUGGACAUCCUUGUGAC
RNAcentral lists this unclassified non-coding RNA (280 nucleotides) under Hevea brasiliensis (rubber tree). The record is from RNAcentral. Lineage: Eukaryota; Viridiplantae; Streptophyta; Magnoliopsida; Malpighiales; Euphorbiaceae.